AGAUUGGUCUGGAAAGAUACGGAAGAUAAGCCUGAAUGGGUUAAGGAUUUGGAUGCUGUAAUGGGGGAAAGGGAGGAUGUUGAGAACCCUUUAUCUUUGCUGAAGGAUCCUUUAAUGGUUGAGCCUCUUGGAAGUUGUGGGCGCAAAAUAAUGCUGUGGUGGCUCCGCGUUGAAGCACGGGCAGACAGUAAAUUCCCUGCCAGGUUAGUUGUCUAGCGCUAUCUUGACUACAUGUAGCGUCACUUUUUGAAUAUUCUUAGCGUUGAAUAUUAUAUUCGUUGUUUCUAACAUUUCUUUAUCACUCUUUUGUAAGUUUUUGAUCACCUAGCCAUAAAUGUGGCCGUGCUUGUUUCAAGAUUGUCAUAUGUUCUUAAAACAUGACAAAUCCUCGUAGGUUGCCGUAUCUGUUUUCUUUUUCUUUUUGAUAAUGUUCUUAGGGCUCGUUUGGUGCUGAAGGAUCCUUCAAUGGUGGAGCCUCUCGGAAGUUGUGGGCGCAAAAUUAUGCUGUGGUGGCUGCGCAUUGAAGCACGGGCAGACAGCAAAUUCCCUGCCAGGUUAGUUGUCUUGCGCUAUCU
Molecule: long non-coding RNA, 575 nt
Filed under: Nicotiana benthamiana
Lineage: Eukaryota; Viridiplantae; Streptophyta; Magnoliopsida; Solanales; Solanaceae
Description: long non-coding RNA (NBEN_LNC035064)
Source: RNAcentral